RNAcentral lists this ribosomal RNA (459 nucleotides) under uncultured bacterium. Its description in RNAcentral is "partial 16S ribosomal RNA". It matches the Rfam family "Bacterial small subunit ribosomal RNA", at positions 338 to 795 of the family's 1533-position model. The record is from RNAcentral.
CCUACGGGUGGCUGCAGUGAGGAAUAUUGGUCAAUGGGCGCGAUCCUUAACCAUCCAAUUCUCUUUAUUGAAGACGGUCCUAUGGAUUGUAAACCUCUUUUGUCGGGGAGCAAAAGACGCCACGCGUGGCGUUCCGAGAGUACCCGAAGAAAAAGCAUCGGCUAACUCCGUGCCAGCAGCCGCGGUAAUACGGAGGAUGCGAGCGUUAUCCGGAUUUAUUGGGUUUAGAGGGUGCGCAGGCGGAAGAUCAAGUCAGCGGUAAAAUUGAGAGGCUCAACCUCUUCGAGCCGUUGAAACUGGUUUUCUUGAGUGAGCGAGAAGUAUGCGGAAUGCGUGGUGUAGCGGUGAAAUGCAUAGAUAUCACGCAGAACUCCGAUUGCGAAGGCAGCAUACCGGCGCUCAACUGACGCUCAUGCACGAAAGCGCGGGUAGCGAACAGGAUUAGAUACCCUUGUAGUC